UACGGAGGGGGCUAGCGUUGUUCGGAAUUACUGGGCGUAAAGGGCUCGUAGGCGGCCAACUAAGUCGGAUGUGAAAUCCCCAGGCUCAACCUGGGAACUGCAUCCGAUACUGGAUGGCUUGAAUCCGGGAGAGGGAUGCAGAAUUCCAGGUGUAGCGGUGAAAUUCGUAGAUAUUGGGAGGAACACCGGUGGCGAAGGCGGCUCCCUGGUCCGAUACUGACGCUCAUGUGCGAAAGCGUGGGGAGCAAACAGG
Molecule: ribosomal RNA, 253 nt
Filed under: uncultured bacterium
Lineage: Bacteria
Description: partial 16S ribosomal RNA
Rfam family: Bacterial small subunit ribosomal RNA
Source: RNAcentral